CGGCAGCACGAGAGCUUGCUCUUGGUGGCGAGUGGCGAACGGGUGAGUAAUAUAUCGGAACGUAUCCAAUAGUGGGGGAUAACUAAUCGAAAGGUUGGCUAAUACCGCAUACGCCCUACGGGGGAAAGCAGGGGAUCUUCGGACCUUGCGUUAAUGGAGCGGCUGAUAUCUGAUUAGCUAGUAGGUGAGGUAAAGGCUCACCUAGGCUUCGAUCAGUAGCUGGUCUGAGAGGACGACCAGCCACACUGGAACUGAGACACGGUCCAGACUCCUACGGGAGGCAGCAGUGGGGAAUUUUGGACAAUGGGGGCAACCCUGAUCCAGCCAUUCCGCGUGAGUGAAGAAGGCCUUCGGGUUGUAAAGCUCUUUCGCAAGGGAAGAAACGUUACGAGCGAAUAACUCGUGAUAAUGACGGUACCUUGAUAAGAAGCACCGGCUAACUACGUGCCAGCAGCCGCGGUAAUACGUAGGGUGCGAGCGUUAAUCGGAAUUACUGGGCGUAAAGCGUGCGC
This 512-nucleotide ribosomal RNA is filed under the name uncultured beta proteobacterium. RNAcentral's name for it is "bacterial SSU rRNA". It matches the Rfam family "Bacterial small subunit ribosomal RNA", at positions 67 to 572 of the family's 1533-position model. Lineage: Bacteria; Pseudomonadati; Pseudomonadota; Betaproteobacteria. The record is from RNAcentral.